Long non-coding RNA from Xiphias gladius (swordfish), 462 nucleotides. RefSeq lists it as uncharacterized. The transcript is spliced from 3 exons. The record is from RefSeq and is a predicted model, not a curated record. NCBI's taxonomy places the organism in Eukaryota, Metazoa, Chordata, Actinopteri, Istiophoriformes, Xiphiidae.
UUUUUUUCUCCAUGUGAACGUUGGUGGGAGCUUCAGACGGAAUGAAGACGUCUGAUCUGCGGAAGGUGAAUGGGGCCUGAGUGAUAGACCCAGAACCUUUCAUCUCACCCAGUAAUAGGAAAUGGCACCGACCCCUCCUGAUCCCCCCGAUUACCUUUGUGAAGCGUGAAUGUGGUAUGGAAUCACACAUCAGGAGACGAGUUGUAAUUAUUUUUGCGAUGCCAUCAGCAUGGAUCAAUCACUCAGGGAGGCUGCUUGUGGAACGCCGCUCGCAGCCAUGGAUGGAGCCAGCAGCGACCCUCUUUGACUGACAGCUUUGGUAAUUAAGUGAUUGUAUAGACCCCUCCGACUGUUAUAACAACCUUGUCAGGGCCAGUCUGCGUUUGGAACACACUCAAAUCAAUGUGUUCUCCAUUCCCUGAGCGUUUCUGAUCAUGUAUCUAAGAGAGAAAGAGGAGAAAA